GCCCGGGUGGUGGAAUGGUAGACACUGGGGACUUAAAAUCCCCUGCCCGCAAGGGCGUGCGGGUUCGAGCCCCGCCCCGGGUACCA
This 86-nucleotide transfer RNA is filed under the name Verrucomicrobiota bacterium JB022. RNAcentral describes it as "tRNA-Leu". It matches the Rfam family "tRNA". From Rfam's summary of the family: Transfer RNA (tRNA) molecules are approximately 80 nucleotides in length. Their secondary structure includes four short double-helical elements and three loops (D, anti-codon, and T loops). The record is from RNAcentral. Lineage: Bacteria; Pseudomonadati; Verrucomicrobiota.